This 510-nucleotide ribosomal RNA is filed under the name uncultured bacterium. Its description in RNAcentral is "bacterial SSU rRNA". It matches the Rfam family "Bacterial small subunit ribosomal RNA", at positions 8 to 507 of the family's 1533-position model. The record is from RNAcentral.
AGAGUUUGAUCAUGGCUCAGAGUGAACGCUGGCGGCAGGCCUAAUACAUGCAAGUCGAACGGCAGCACGGCAGAGCUUGCUCUGUGGGUGGCGAGUGGCGGACGGGUGAGGAAUACAUGGGAAUCUGCCCAGUCGUGGGGGAUAACGUAGGGAAACUUACGCUAAUACCGCAUGCGCCCUUCGGGGGAAAGCCGGGGACCUUCGGGCCUGGCGCGAUUGGAUGAGCCCAUGUCGGAUUAGCUAGUUGGCGGGGUAAUGGCCCACCAAGGCGACGAUCCGUAGCUGGUCUGAGAGGAUGAUCAGCCACACUGGAACUGAGACACGGUCCAGACCCCUACGGGAGGCAGCAGUAGGGAAUAUUGGACAAUGGGCGCAAGCCUGAUCCAGCCAUGCCGCGUGAGUGAAGAAGGCCCUCGGGUUGUAAAGCUCUUUUGUCCGGAAAGAAAAGCGCCGGGUUAAUACCCUGGUGUCCUGACGGUACCGGAAGAAUAAGCACCGGCUAACUUCGUG